CUGUAGCUAGUUAAGAUGAUUCACCUAUCUCCCUGAUGCGGGGCUCAGUGUGCAGUGGCAGCAAAAAGCAGAUUCCUUGAUUGUGUAUGCAGUAAGGGAUCAUGGAGACAUCC
Molecule: small nucleolar RNA, 113 nt
Organism: Pteropus vampyrus (large flying fox)
Lineage: Eukaryota; Metazoa; Chordata; Mammalia; Chiroptera; Pteropodidae
Gene: SNORA70
Rfam family: Small nucleolar RNA SNORA70
About the family: snoRNA U70 seems to be exclusive to mammals and is a member of the H/ACA class of snoRNA which contain H (ANANNA) and ACA box motifs. H/ACA box snoRNAs are involved in the conversion of uridines to pseudouridines (5-ribosyluracil) a constituent of structural RNAs (transfer, ribosomal, small nuclear, and small nucleolar).
Source: Ensembl